RNA transcript from Limulus polyphemus (Atlantic horseshoe crab), 1347 nucleotides. RefSeq lists it as uncharacterized. The record is from RefSeq and is a predicted model, not a curated record. NCBI's taxonomy places the organism in Eukaryota, Metazoa, Arthropoda, Merostomata, Xiphosura, Limulidae. The transcript has 4 exons.
UUUAUCGGGAAAAGUAUACCAUGUUUAAACACGUAAAGCGCGUUACUUAAAUACCUCAGUUAUUAAGCCUAUUGAGCCUCUGGAGGCGAUAUCAAACCAGGGCACCAAAACUACAAGAGCUGCAGACGCCAUAAGAUUUAUUUCCACUAGCUCUCCGGGUGACGAUCAGGGUCUGUUCAGCCGUGCUUGUGAUACGAUAAAAGUUUCGUUUAGAACGACGAGAAUAUUUUCUUCAUAUCUUUUUUUCCCUCCUCUCUCGAGACUUGUUAACUUAAUCAUGUAUUUAUUAGACGAUAAUAACUUAUUUUCGUAAAUUGCUUAAUGUUUCCUGCACGUGUGGAUAAUCUGCCCAGUCGAUUUGAGUAUUUCGGACAAGGUAUAUGUGGAUGACCAAAGCCGGACAACUGGGGACUACUAUCUCUAUGUGCCGUUUCGGGUUUUCCGUUUUCUCGACGGAUCCCGUGUCUCGUUUUCGUGCAAUGUCAUCAUCUGUCAGGACAACUGUCCGUCGGCUGACUGUGGUGAGUUUAUGGGAAUGUCCUACGGCAGGAAGAAAAGAGACAUUACUGACAAUUCACGAUACCAAGUUAUGUCUGUUUCCCGUGACGUCACAGUUUUAGAUGAUGUCACCAGUCGCACCGUUCAUGCUAAGACUACUUCGAUAGAGAAAUUAGAAGAUUCCAAAACCGAAACAGCCGCGCUUUCUGUACAUUUUACAUGGCUUCUAGGUGGAGCUACCAUCGCCACUACCCUUUUCUUCUCUCUCGCAUUAAAUGUUUAUUUUAUCUUCAUUGCGAAACGGAACUCAUCAGUGUCUGAGAAAACAAAUGAACACGGAAAAACAGAUUGUUGUUCAUCUCUGAAGACGCGCAAAACGGAAAUUAAUUACCCCCCGCGACGUACACAAAGGCCCUUGUUUGACUAAACCUAAAUUAUUUCGAAUGAUGUUAUUUCUAUUAAAAGGGAAAAAAUAUGUUUUGGGGAAAUUGUGGGGUAAGUAAGGGUAACUUCAUAUAUUUUAUCUAAUGGGUGAUGCGGCAUCCUUCAACUUUUGGUUUGUGCUUAUAUUUUGUUGUUGUUGUUCGUGGUAUUUUACUUUAUAUCUUCAUUCUUUACGUAAACGUCAUCGUUUUAGGCUUAACCAAUUUUUUACUUAACGAACGAGUUUAAGACUAAAUAAAAGGAAAUAAAAAACAGGUCACGACCGUGAUAAAGUACUUUUUACAUCUGUUAGUAUAUGUUAAGUAAUACUAAGUGCUUCAUUUCAAAGUUAUUUAAUUCUUUGUUGUUGUUGUUGUUUGCUCAUUGUUUAAAAUAUGUUCCUAAUUACUAAUAAAGCUUGCUUUC